AAUCCAUGUUGUAGGGUGGGCAGCGUCGAAUCAAAUCUUUACACCUUUCCCAUGCUUCAUAGAGUGAUUCAAAAUCAUGCUGCUUAAAUUGACCAAUCUCACUCCUGAGUUG
This is a small nucleolar RNA of Malania oleifera, 112 nucleotides long. Lineage: Eukaryota; Viridiplantae; Streptophyta; Magnoliopsida; Santalales; Ximeniaceae. The record is from RefSeq and is a predicted model, not a curated record.